Molecule: ribosomal RNA, 846 nt
Filed under: Triticum aestivum (bread wheat)
Lineage: Eukaryota; Viridiplantae; Streptophyta; Magnoliopsida; Poales; Poaceae
Description: partial small subunit ribosomal RNA
Source: RNAcentral
AUGGAAAUCGCCAAUGAUAUAUGGACAGCAGCACUUGUGACAGUGGAGCGGACGGACAAACCUGAACCAACGCCCAUACCACCAAAUAUUCAGAAGCUGUUGUUUGAAUACAAGGACGUUUUCGCCGAGCCCUGUACAUUGCCGCCUCGCCGACAGUAUGAUCAUAGCAUCAAUUUGGAGCCCAAUAGUGCACCAAUCAACACAAAACCCUACCGCUAUUCACCAGCUCAGAAAGACGAAAUAGAGAAACAAGUACAGGACAUGCUGGAAUCAGGAGUGAUCGCCCAUAGCUCGAGCCCGUAUGCUGCUCCAGUGCUGUUAGUAAAGAAAAAAGAUGGGAGUUGGCGGUUUUGUGUCGAUUUUCGACGACUGAAUUCGGUUACAGUCAAGAACAAGUUUCCCUUGCCCGUUGUGGGCGAGCUUCUCGAUGAACUGGCCGGUGCUGCAUACUUCUCCAAGAUUGACCUCCGAGCCGGCUACCACCAGAUACGAAUGCGUGAAGAGGAUGAGGAAAAGACAGCCGUCAAGACACACCACGGCCAUUAUCACUUUCGUGUGAUGCCCUUUGGACUGUGCAAUGCUCCAGCCACGUUCCAAUGUCUGAUGAACACCAUCUUCGGGCGCCACGUGCGUAAGUUCAUAAUCAUUUUUCUUGAUGACAUAUUGGUUUUCAGUGAGGAGCUGCAGGAGCACGAAGAGCAUCUACGAGUUACCUCCUCCUCCGCGAGCAUCAGCUGUUCGCCAAGGCCUCCAAGUGCUCGUUUGCGCAAACUAGCAUCGAGUACCUGGGCCAUGUCAUCUCAAAGUACGGCGUCGCUACGGAUCCCAGCAAGACCAGUGCGAUGA